Molecule: ribosomal RNA, 451 nt
Filed under: uncultured bacterium
Lineage: Bacteria
Description: partial 16S ribosomal RNA
Rfam family: Bacterial small subunit ribosomal RNA
Source: RNAcentral
GAUGAAUGCUGGCGGCGUGCCUAACACAUGCAAGUCGAGCGGCAGCGAGGGGUGCUUGCACCCUGUCGGCGAGCGGCGAACGGCUGAGUAACGCGUAGGAAUUUGCCCCAAAGUGAGGAAUAACUGCCCGAAAGGGUAGCUAAUGCCGCAUAUGGUCUUCGGAUUAAAGGAUUUAUCCGCUUUGGGAGAAGCCUGCGUUGGAUUAGGUUGUUGGUAGGGUAAUGGCCUACCAAGCCGACGAUCCAUAGCUGGUCUGAGAGGAUGAUCAGCCAGACUGGAACUGAGACACGGUCCAGACUCCUACGGGGGGCAGCAGUGAGGAAUCUUCCACAAUGGGCGAAAGCCUGAUGGAGCAACGCCGCGUGAAGGAUGAAGGCCUUCGGGUUGUAAACUUCUUUUAUGAGUGAAGAAUAUGACGGUAACUCAUGAAUAAGCACCGGCUAACUACGUG